GCAGGCACAGUACUUCCAGCAUAGCAGCAGUAGCAGGGCCAGGAGCGGCAGGAGGAGGAGGAGCAGGGGGAUGAGCCACCAGAAGGAGCCCGGAGGGCAGUCUAGGACAGUGCUGUUGGGCCCAGGGGCGCCGUCACCUUCCAUGGUGUAGCUGUAGGUGCAGUCGUCAUCCUCGUCCCGGAAGGAGCAGCGCACCACCACCUUGCCCCUACCUCUCUUAAGCUCGUCCACCAUCUUGACCUUGAAGUUGCAUUCCUCACACGUGCGCCCCUUCUUCUCGCCGGUGCCCCACGCCUGGCACUGCACGCAGGAGCGUAGGUCCUCGCAGAAGCCUCACCGCCGAGUAGUUGAUCUCGCAGAUGGUGUCCGUGUAGAGCGACUGCUGGUGGCAGUGGCAGCGGCCACACUCACAGUGGCCACGUCCAUUACAGAUGCCCUGGGGCUACCCCAUUGCUGUCGAUGCAGGUGGCAUUGCUGAGGGGACAGUCACAGCUUGGGCCUGUCCAACCAGGCUCACACACACACUGGCCCAUGGAGCAGCGUCCUCGGUCU
RNAcentral lists this long non-coding RNA (552 nucleotides) under Homo sapiens (human). RNAcentral's name for it is "long non-coding RNA NONHSAT176573". The record is from RNAcentral. Lineage: Eukaryota; Metazoa; Chordata; Mammalia; Primates; Hominidae.